RNAcentral lists this transfer RNA (74 nucleotides) under Elusimicrobiota bacterium. RNAcentral describes it as "Elusimicrobia bacterium (activated sludge metagenome) tRNA-Gly". It matches the Rfam family "tRNA". From Rfam's summary of the family: Transfer RNA (tRNA) molecules are approximately 80 nucleotides in length. Their secondary structure includes four short double-helical elements and three loops (D, anti-codon, and T loops). Lineage: Bacteria; Pseudomonadati; Elusimicrobiota. The record is from RNAcentral.
GCGGGUGUAGUUCAGUGGUAGAAUGGAAGCUUCCCAAGCUUCAGAUGUGGGUUCGAUUCCCAUCACCCGCUCCA